UACUUCCUCAAGUUCCUAUUACGACAUAGUUCUCUACAAAUUAUUUAAUUAAUGCAGAAUUUUCUUUUGCUGAUAACAGUUCAGGUCCAAUUUAUUUUUCUUGCGAGCAAAAUUUGAACACAUUGUUCACAGUAAUCUUCCAUAGCAUUGCUGUAAUGAAGUCAAUGCUUCAAAACCACGUGGGAAGGUUUCCAAUGAUUAUACUGUAUAAAUAGUUUUGUUUUCCACUUUUAGGUACAAUUCUUCCAGAAAUAUCAAUACAAAUUGUGGACAGAAAUAUAUUGCUAAAACAUAUUAAGAACACAUCGAAAGCAAUAUGUCACAUUUAAUUUACUGUAUCAAAUGGGCUGCAGCAAUUCAAGAAGGCAACUCACCACCGUCUUCUCAAAGGCACCCAGGGAUGGGCAAUAAAUGAUGGCCCAGCUAGCAAAGCCAAAUCUCAUGAAUGAAUAAAAAAUUACUAGCUGUUAGCUGGCUGACAAAAGGCAGUUGUCCAGAAUUUAUUUUAAAAUUAGAGAAAAUGUGCAGCAAUUAUUGGAAUAUCAUAACAUUAUAUUGGCAAGAUUUUUUUGACUCUAUAAAACUACAUCAGUGUAUGACAUAUCAUUUUUCUUCUCCCAAUAUAAUGACCUCCUUCUGACACAGUGAAGGAUGUUUAGAUUAAUCUAAACUGUGCACCAAUUAGAAGUUUCAAUGUAAUUUCUGUAACUAUCUUCUGGAAAUCCUCCUUUCCUAUGUUGUAAAAUGGACAAUACAUUACAAAUGCAACUGUACUCUCGGGACAGUUAUAUAUUCCUGAAAUAUUAAAUAUUGUUAGCUCCAGUCUUAUUGAUGGUGUUUGUUCCUGCAUUGGUGUCAUAUUUAUUUUAAUAUUAGAUUUUCACAUUGUUACUAUCUUGUGGUGUAGAAAAUAUUUUAGUUCAUGAUAAUGUAACCUAUAAACUCAUUAAAGACUGCCAUUUGAAGUAU
This is a long non-coding RNA of Rhincodon typus (whale shark), 969 nucleotides long. RefSeq lists it as uncharacterized. The record is from RefSeq and is a predicted model, not a curated record. The transcript is spliced from 3 exons. NCBI's taxonomy places the organism in Eukaryota, Metazoa, Chordata, Chondrichthyes, Orectolobiformes, Rhincodontidae.